RNAcentral lists this ribosomal RNA (452 nucleotides) under uncultured bacterium. RNAcentral describes it as "bacterial SSU rRNA". It matches the Rfam family "Bacterial small subunit ribosomal RNA", at positions 96 to 562 of the family's 1533-position model. The record is from RNAcentral.
CGGCGGGCGGGUGAGUAACGCGUGGGGAACCUGCCCUUAAGUUCGGGAUACCAACUCGAAAGGGUUGUUAAUACCGGAUGGGCUGCAUUAGCCGCAUGGCGGAUGUAGUAAAGGGGAGACCCGCUUAAGGAUGGCCCUGCGUUCCAUUAGCUAGUUGGUGGGGUAACGGCCUACCAAGGCGACGAUGGAUAGCCGGCCUGAGAGGGCGACCGGCCACACUGGGACUGAGACACGGCCCAGACUCCUACGGGGGGCAGCAGUGGGGAAUCUUGCACAAUGGGCGGAAGCCUGAUGCAGCGACGCCGCGUGAGGGACGAAGGUCUUCGGAUCGUAAACCUCUGUCCAAAGGGACGAAGGAGUGACGGUACCUUUGGAGGAAGCCCCGGCCAACUACGUGCCAGCAGCCGCGGUAAGACGUAGGGGGCGAGCGUUGUCCGGAAUCAUUGGGCGUA